UUUUCCUACGGGAGGCAGCAGUGGGGAAUAUUGGACAAUGGGGGGAACCCUGAUCCAGCGACGCCGCGUGAGUGAAGAAGUAUUUCGGUAUGUAAAGCUCUAUCAGCAGGGAAGAAAGAAAUGACGGUACCUGACUAAGAAGCCCCGGCUAACUACGUGCCAGCAGUCGCGGUAAUACGUAGGGGGCAAGCGUUAUCCGGAUUUACUGGGUGUAAAGGGAGCGUAGACGGCAAUGCAAGUCUGGAGUGAAAGGUGGGGGCCCAACCCCCGGACUGCUCUGGAAACUGUAUAGCUGGAGUGCAGGA
RNAcentral lists this ribosomal RNA (305 nucleotides) under uncultured bacterium. RNAcentral's name for it is "bacterial SSU rRNA". It matches the Rfam family "Bacterial small subunit ribosomal RNA", at positions 334 to 653 of the family's 1533-position model. The record is from RNAcentral.